CUCGGCUGCAAUUAUGUCAUCAUGAAAUCAUGCUCCACAUUCUAAAAUAAACUCAUUGCCAUAUGAAUUGUUAUCUUACUGAGAUAUUUUUGUAGUUGUCUUUUAACAGCUUCCUUAGAAGUGUCUCCCAAAUUUCUCACAAUACCAAAACAAAAAUUUCUUUCUUCAUCUUAUCCAAGUGAGUAGGUCAAGCAUGAAUGUUCAGAUAUCACCACCCUGAUCCUGCAUUGCACACACACAAUUACUUGAAUUUCUCUCUCUCUCUCUCUCUCUCUCUCUCUCACACACACACACAUACACACACACACACACACACACGAUUAUUUAGCUAAAUCUUCUAAAAUAUACAUUUCUGAUUUCAAGAAAGGUCAAAAAGAGUUUUCCUUAAUGACACGGUUCGGGACUCACCUGUGGACGUGGAUGUCCUGUGACCAGACAGGCUCAUUAUAUUACAUAUUCUGAUAUCACAAACACAGAUAGGGAAGAAGAAAGUAGGAAGAGCUGAGACAGGAGGUGAAGAUGCUGAUGCACAUGAUGACCUCUUGUAUGUGUGUAUGCCCGGGAGGAACCAGUCUGAGUCAGCCACCAGUAAUCUACACGCUCCUGUAUCUACAUGGACAUUCUCACAUCAACCCUUCACCAUAUUCUUCCUGGCAUUUCUCAGGGGAAGCUGAUCUGCACAGUGGGAAUAUUUGAAAGCCCAUCAAACAUUUCAUUAAUCUCAUAAUUUGGUCACAGGGAUUUGUAUGAACUAGGCUGGGUACCUCAACUUGAAGAUAAAUAUUAUAGGGAACUGCAUCCCCAGCCGCAGCGUAUGAAUGAGAUACUCUAUACACAACUUCUUAGUUUUCUAUUGGAUCCUAUGGUACUUCCCAAAUGGUUUCUGACUAAAAGUUGAAUCAUGUCUCCAAAUAGUAUAUUUUAGAAAAAUAAAAAAUAACUACUCCAGAAACUUCA
This 957-nucleotide long non-coding RNA is filed under the name Vulpes vulpes (red fox). RNAcentral's name for it is "lncRNA (ENSVVUG00000000098.1)". The record is from RNAcentral. Lineage: Eukaryota; Metazoa; Chordata; Mammalia; Carnivora; Canidae.